AGCCCCUGUAUCUAGCAGGUGUUUAUCAUGUUUUCUCCUGUGUCUUCAGGUAGCCCUUAGGAGGGUAUGAGGAACCGAACUUCCCAGCAGUCGAGUGACUUUCAAAAAGCUGCACAGCUCCUAAGGGCCGGAGUUUGAUCUCAAUCUCGAGUCCCUUGGCAACAUAGGAGAAUGGCUGGAGGGGACACGUGGGUUGUCAGGCCGGUCCGGAUUAUACGGCAGUCGAGAGGCUAUCCCACCACUUGAGAAGAUUGAGAGAAAAUAAGAAAAAGCACACCAGGACAUCCCUGCCGGAGAUUUUUGACUUCUUCCAGCAAGCAGGAGCACUCAGCCUGACCCAGACGCCUCUCCCCGCCUGACCCUGAGGAACUGCAACAUUUCCCAAGUCAGCAGCCACGUCUUCCUAAGGGUUACUCUGGCCUUUCCCUGCCAGGGUGGAUUAUACCUGCGACAGAAGUUGUUCACUGGAGAAUCCUUUGCUGUGCCUGAAAUGGUUUUCAGGUGGCAAGAAUGCACUUGAUUCCUGGACAGGCAUUUUCCACUGGAGAGGAUAAAUUUUAAGUCCCUUUUCUGCACUGCCGUAAGUCAAAGGACUGUCAUAUUAAAAAACAGUAGGAAGAACCAGCUCUUAGGGGGAAACGUGAACACUUUCCAACUGUGGUGAGUCAAUGGCACACUGAAGGCAACAUAAUGAAUCCAAGAUACCCUUUUUUUUUGUUUUGUUUUCUGGAAAUAAGGUGUCUUAGAGACGCAAAGUAAUAGGAAAUCUAUUAGUCGCUGUCUUGCCUGAAGCGUUUUUUGAUGUUAAAUUCCCUUUAUGUAUCUUUAGGGUAUUUAAAGAGAUGGCAUUAAACGGACCCUACAAUGUCUACAAGACUCCUCUUUAAACUUCUCAGUGCUUUUUUUUUUUUAAAGUUUAUUUAUUUUGAGAGAGAGAGAGAGAGAGGGUGUGCAUGAGCAGAGGAGGGGCAGAGAGAGAGGGAGAGACAAUCCCAAAUGGGCUGGAGGCAUUUGAACUAUUCACGAACAGCCACUGACGUGGGAGCUCUGACAUCUUUGUACGUGAGCUAUGCAAUCGCACACGUAAUGCGGAAUAGACACAUUCCAGAUGUGAUCGGCCACGUGCCCCGUAGACACUUCAGGACAGUCUCAUAUCCAACUAUAUUUCCUCAUAUACCUCCACUCUCAUGGAAAUGUGGUAUUUCCAGUCAUUUCCGGCAACAAUGACUGAAUGAACCCAGUCUAAAAAAGCAAGGAACUGAGCGAGCUGAGAUUUUUCCGAUAACAUCCAAUUCCAUCCCCUCUAACCUCGGUAUGUAUGAAUACUAAAAGAGGCCAUGCGUGUUCUUUAUCUACAUGCAAAAGACAGGUGCUUCCAGGGCUGGUUCAUUGGCUCAGUGGUGUCAGGGUGCUGGGCCAACACCUCCGGAUUCUCUUGGCUUUUCCUCAUGGCCACAAAAUGGCUGCUGCUGUUCCAGGCAUCGGGACCACACACAGGGAUCUGACAGAGAAAGAAAGUGUCAAAACCAAAAGUGAAUUUCCUUCGGCAAUUUCUUUUCUACUCUUCUUCCCCCCUUCUAAAUCAGAUUAAAAUCUAGCGAAGAGAAAGGAAAUCCCAUAGAUCCUAGCUGGCCGGUGCUGAAAAGGACUCCAAAAUAAAGUGACAUAAAAAGUCCCAUAGUUCCCCCAACUCAACAAAUAUAAACAUUUUCUUCUUUCGCAAGCACAAGCUCCCCGUUAAGCGUUUCAGGAUGCCAGGCGGCUUUGUUCCACGCACUGACUCAGGAAUCCAGGCCGAUGGCUUCCAAAGUCAUUCCGCGCAUCACCCGUCCUGCCAGGGGGAAGGUGGAAAGCCCGGAAAUUCUGGUCCUGAGAUUCCUUCUUCAGCAAGUGGCAUAUGGAACCCAAGCCUGAGUUAUAUGAACUGGCAGAAGCAUAGUCACAUGUGGGCACCACAGCAAACAGAGCUGGAAAACGCAUUCCCAAGCUGGCCUUGGGGGCGGCCCCAGCUGCAGAAGUAGACGGGCAGAAUGGAUUCGGGUUGCUGUUUGCUUCUGUUAUCACCCACCAUGCCUGGUUUAGACAAAUUGUGACCCCUCCC
Leopardus geoffroyi (Geoffroy's cat) is the source of this 2101-nucleotide long non-coding RNA. RefSeq lists it as uncharacterized. The transcript has 3 exons. Lineage: Eukaryota; Metazoa; Chordata; Mammalia; Carnivora; Felidae. The record is from RefSeq and is a predicted model, not a curated record.